RNAcentral lists this ribosomal RNA (439 nucleotides) under uncultured bacterium. RNAcentral's name for it is "partial 16S ribosomal RNA". It matches the Rfam family "Bacterial small subunit ribosomal RNA", at positions 339 to 795 of the family's 1533-position model. The record is from RNAcentral.
CUACGGGAGGCUGCAGCGAGGAAUAUUGCACAAUGGGGGGAACCCUGAUGCAGCAACGCCGCGUGGAGGAUGACGCAUUUCGGUGUGUAAACUCCUUUUAUAUGUCAAGAAAAUGACGGUAGCAUAUGAAUAAGCGCCGGCUAACUCCGUGCCAGCAGCCGCGGUAAUACGGAGGGCGCAAGCGUUACUCGGAAUCACUGGGCGUAAAGGACGCGUAGGCGGGUUGAAAAGUCAGGUGUGAAAGCCUACAGCUUAACUGUAGAACUGCACUUGAAACUCUCAACCUAGAGUAUGGGAGGGGCAGAUGGAAUUAGUGGUGUAGGGGUAAAAUCCGUAGAUAUCACUAGGAAUACCUAAAGCGAAGGCGAUCUGCUGGAACAUUACCGACGCUAAGGCGUGAAAGCGUGGGGAGCAAACAGGAUUAGAUACCCUUGUAGUC